GAGACCGGCGCACGGGUGCGUAACGCGUAUGCAAUCUACCUUUUGCAGAGGGAUAGCCCAGAGAAAUUUGGAUUAAUACCUCAUAGUAUGUGAGAAUGGCAUCAUUUUCACAUUAAAGUCACAACGGCAAAAGAUGAGCAUGCGUCCCAUUAGCUAGUUGGUAAGGUAACGGCUUACCAAGGCAACGAUGGGUAGGGGUCCUGAGAGGGAGAUCCCCCACACUGGUACUGAGACACGGACCAGACUCCUACGGGAGGCAGCAGUGAGGAAUAUUGGACAAUGGGCGCAAGCCUGAUCCAGCCAUGCCGCGUGCAGGAUGACGGUCCUAUGGAUUGUAAACUGCUUUUGUACAGGAAGAAACACUCCCUCGUGAGGGAGCUUGACGGUACUGUAAGAAUAAGGAUCGGCUAACUCCGUGCCAGCAGCCGCGGUAAUACGGAGGAUCCAAGCGUUAUCCGGAAUCAUUGGGUUUAAAGGGUCCGUAGGCGGUUUAGUAAGUCAGUGGUGAAAGCCCAUCGCUCAACGGUGGAACGGCCAUUGAUACUGCUAGACUUGAAUUAUUAGGAAGUAACUAGAAUAUGUAGUGUAGCGGUGAAAUGCUUAGAGAUUACAUGGAAUACCAAUUGCGAAGGCAGGUUACUACUAAUGGAUUGACGCUGAUGGACGAAAGCGUGGGUAGCGAACAGGAUUAGAUACCCUGGUAGUCCACGCCGUAAACGAUGGAUACUAGCUGUUGGGCGCAAGUUCAGUGGCUAAGCGAAAGUGAUAAGUAUCCCACCUGGGGAGUACGUUCGCAAGAAUGAAACUCAAAGGAAUUGACGGGGGCCCGCACAAGCGGUGGAGCAUGUGGUUUAAUUCGAUGAUACGCGAGGAACCUUACCAAGGCUUAAAUGUAGAUUGACCGGUUUGGAAACAGACUUUUCGCAAGACAAUUUACAAGGUGCUGCAUGGUUGUCGUCAGCUCGUGCCGUGAGGUGUCAGGUUAAGUCCUAUAACGAGCGCAACCCCUGUUGUUAGUUGCCAGCGAGUCAUGUCGGGAACUCUAACGAGACUGCCAGUGCAAACUGUGAGGAAGGUGGGGAUGACGUCAAAUCAUCACGGCCCUUACGCCUUGGGCUACACACGUGCUACAAUGGCCGGUACAGAGAGCAGCCACUGGGUGACCAGGAGCGAAUCUACAAAGCCGGUCACAGUUCGGAUCCGAGUCUGCAACUCSACUCCGUGAAGCUGGAAUCGCUAGUAAUCGGAU
This 1249-nucleotide ribosomal RNA is filed under the name Flavobacterium succinicans. RNAcentral's name for it is "bacterial SSU rRNA". It matches the Rfam family "Bacterial small subunit ribosomal RNA", at positions 91 to 1347 of the family's 1533-position model. The record is from RNAcentral. Lineage: Bacteria; Pseudomonadati; Bacteroidota; Flavobacteriia; Flavobacteriales; Flavobacteriaceae.